This 609-nucleotide long non-coding RNA is filed under the name Gallus gallus (chicken). RNAcentral describes it as "lncRNA (ENSGALG00010003008.1)". Lineage: Eukaryota; Metazoa; Chordata; Aves; Galliformes; Phasianidae. The record is from RNAcentral.
GCCUGGCCUUGAAUGCCACAUUACUUUUACAGCCAACUUACUGUUUUUGUCCUGUUUUAGACAGAGGGAAGCAGUGGCACGAAGACUGUGUAUUAAUGAAUAUAAGAUCAGUUUGCAGCCAUAGGCUACCUUAGCAAUAAAUAAUGAUGUGGGACAGCUUGUCACUAUUAUGUGGAAGUACAGAUGAACAAGAUGCAUCACAUCAUAUAGAAGUCUUUUUUUGAAAAUCUGAUUCUUACUGAAGAGAGAGAUUGUGUGACACACGCCACCUUUGAUAGAAUUCAGUGGGAGAGGAGACUCUUAUGUGAAUGCUCUGAAAUUUCUUUCCCUAUAACAAGAACAAGUUUUCAACAUUUUUCCCUUUCCAACGUCAUUACAAUGUUAUCUACAGUCCUCCAAGAUUCAAAGUCGUCUUCAGUGCGUUGGCUCAGAAGCAUAUGAACUUUGUCAAGGGUGGAGAGAGAUGGAAAGAAGGAAAGAUUUUGGCAGAAUUGAUUCUUCAAAAUUUCCCCUUGUGCUAAUUAGAGAACAUGAUGGAGAUGGAAUGCCAUGACUGAAUGGUUUUGUUUAGCUCUAAAAAUUCAAUUAAAAUAAAUAUUAAUUUCUAAA